GACGUAGGGCGCGAGCGUUGUCCGGAUUUAUUGGGCGUAAAGAGCUCGUAGGCGGCUUGUCGCGUCGUCUGUGAAAACCCGCGGCUCAACGGCGGGCUUGCAGCCGAUACGGGCAGACUAGAGUUCGGCAGGGGAGACUGGAAUUCCUGGUGUAGCGGUGAAAUGCGUAGAUAUCUGGAGGAACACCGGUGGCGAAGGCGGCGUCCUGGACCAACACUGACACUGAUGAGCGAAAGCCAGGGGAGCAAACGGG
RNAcentral lists this ribosomal RNA (253 nucleotides) under uncultured bacterium. RNAcentral's name for it is "partial 16S ribosomal RNA". It matches the Rfam family "Bacterial small subunit ribosomal RNA", at positions 524 to 776 of the family's 1533-position model. The record is from RNAcentral.